This 209-nucleotide RNase P RNA is filed under the name Gammaproteobacteria bacterium. RNAcentral describes it as "partial RNase P RNA component class A". It matches the Rfam family "Bacterial RNase P class A", at positions 145 to 367 of the family's 367-position model. Rfam says of the family: Ribonuclease P (RNase P) is a ubiquitous endoribonuclease, found in archaea, bacteria and eukarya as well as chloroplasts and mitochondria. Its best characterised activity is the generation of mature 5'-ends of tRNAs by cleaving the 5'-leader elements of precursor-tRNAs. Lineage: Bacteria; Pseudomonadati; Pseudomonadota; Gammaproteobacteria. The record is from RNAcentral.
AGGGUAAGGGUGAAACGGUGCGGUAAGAGCGCACCGCGCAGCUGGUAACAGAUGUGGCUAGGUAAACCCCACUCGGAGCAAGGCCAAAUAGGGAAGCUAAAGGCGUGACCCGCGCUGCUUCCGGGUAGGCUGCUUGAGAGCUAUGGUGACAUAGACUCCAGAUGAAUGAUUGUCCUCGACAGAAUCCGGCUUAUCGGCCUACUCGCCAU